RNAcentral lists this ribosomal RNA (391 nucleotides) under uncultured Alphaproteobacteria bacterium. Its description in RNAcentral is "bacterial SSU rRNA". It matches the Rfam family "Bacterial small subunit ribosomal RNA", at positions 340 to 750 of the family's 1533-position model. Lineage: Bacteria; Pseudomonadati; Pseudomonadota; Alphaproteobacteria. The record is from RNAcentral.
UACGGGAGGCAGCAGUGGGGAAUCUUAGACAAUGGGCGCAAGCCUGAUCUAGCCAUGCCGCGUGUGUGAUGAAGGCCUUAGGGUCGUAAAGCACUUUCGCCAGGGAUGAUAAUGACAGUACCUGGUAAAGAAACCCCGGCUAACUCCGUGCCAGCAGCCGCGGUAAUACGGAGGGGGUUAGCGUUGUUCGGAAUUACUGGGCGUAAAGCGUACGUAGGCGGAUCAGAAAGUAGGGGUGAAAUCCCGGGCUCAACCUUGGAACUGCCUCCUAAACUCCUGGUCUUGAGUUCGAGAGAGGUGAGUGGAAUUCCAAGUGUAGAGGUGAAAUUCGUAGAUAUUUGGAGGAACACCAGUGGCGAAGGCGCUCACUGGUCGUAUGCGUGAGGUCGAA